CCUACGGGUUGCAGCAGUGGGGAAUAUUGGACAAUGGGCGCAAGCCUGAUCCAGCCAUGCCGCGUGAGUGAUGAAGGCCUUAGGGUUGUAAAGCUCUUGUGUCCGGGACGAUAAUGACGGUAACCGGAGAAGAAGCCCCGGCUAACUUCGUGCCAGCAGCCGCGGUAAUACGAAGGGGGCUAGCGUUGCUCGGAAUUACUGGGCGUAAAGCGCGCGUAGGCGGAUAGAUAAGUCAGAGGUGAAAUCCCGGGGCUCAACCCCGGAAUUGCCUUUGAUACUGUUUAUCUUGAGUGCAGAAGAGGUAAGUGGAAUUCCGAGUGUAGAGGUGAAAUUCGUAGAUAUUCGGAGGAACACCAGUGGCGAAGGCGGCUUACUGGUCUGCAACUGACGCUGAGGCGCGAAAGCGUGGGGAGCAAACGGGAUUAGAUACCCCCGUAGUC
RNAcentral lists this ribosomal RNA (440 nucleotides) under uncultured bacterium. Its description in RNAcentral is "bacterial SSU rRNA". It matches the Rfam family "Bacterial small subunit ribosomal RNA", at positions 338 to 795 of the family's 1533-position model. The record is from RNAcentral.